GAUGAAGAACGCAGCGAAAUGCGAUAAGUAAUGUGAAUUGCAGAAUUCAGUGAAUCAUCGAAUCUUUGAACGCACAUUGCGCCCGCCAGCAUUCUGGCGGGCAUGCCUGUUCGAGCGUCAUUUCAACCCUCAAGCUCUGCUUGGUGUUGGGGCCCUACGGUUGACGUAGGCCCUUAAAGGUAGUGGCGGACCCUCUCGGAGCCUCCUUUGCGUAGUAACUAACGUCUCGCAUUGGGAUUCGGAGGGACUCUUGCCGUAAAACCCCCAAAUUUUCUAAUGGUUGACCUCGGAUCAGGUAGGAAUACCCGCUGAACUUAAGCAUAUCAAAAGCGGAGGA
This 337-nucleotide unclassified non-coding RNA is filed under the name soil metagenome. RNAcentral describes it as "partial contains 5.8S ribosomal RNA, internal transcribed spacer 2, and large subunit ribosomal RNA". The stretch from base 1 to 120 matches the Rfam family "5.8S ribosomal RNA", at positions 35 to 154 of the family's 154-position model. The record is from RNAcentral.